CCUACGGGUGGCAGCAGUGAGGAAUAUUGGUCAAUGGGCGUAAGCCUGAACCAGCCAAGUCGCGUGAGGGAUGAAGGUUCUAUGGAUCGUAAACCUCUUUUAUAAGGGAAUAAAGUGUGGGACGCGUCCCAUUUUGUAAGUACCUGAUGAAUAAGGAUCGGCUAACUCCGUACCAGCAGCCGCGGUAAUACGGAGGAUCCGAGCGUUAUCCGGAUUUAUUGGGUUUAAAGGGUGCGUAGGCGGCCUUUUAAGUCAGCGGUGAAAGUCUGUGGCUCAACCAUAGCAUUGCCGUUGAAACUGGGGGGCUUGAGUGUGUUUGAGGCAGGCGGAAUGCGUGGUGUAGCGGUGAAAUGCAUAGAUAUCACGCAGAACCCCGAUUGCGAAGGCAGCCUGCCAGGCCAUGACUGACGCUGAUGCACGAAAGCGUGGGGAUCGAACAGGAUUAGAUACCCGAGUAGUC
RNAcentral lists this ribosomal RNA (460 nucleotides) under uncultured bacterium. RNAcentral describes it as "partial 16S ribosomal RNA". It matches the Rfam family "Bacterial small subunit ribosomal RNA", at positions 338 to 795 of the family's 1533-position model. The record is from RNAcentral.